GAUAAACGCUGGCGGCAUGCCUAAUACAUGCAAGUCGAACGGGGGUGCUUGCACCCCAGUGGCGAACGGGUGAGUAACACGUAUCUAACCUACCUCAUAGCGGGGGAUAACUUUUGGAAACGAAAGAUAAUACCGCAUAUGAAUCUUAUUAUCGCAUGAGAAAAGAUUGAAAGGACCGUUUGGUUCACUAUGAGAUGGGGAUGCGGCGUAUUAGUUAGUAGGUGAGGUAAUGGCUCACCUAGGCGAUGAUACGUAGCCGAACUGAGAGGUUGAUCGGCCACAUUGGGACUGAGAUACGGCCCAGACUCCUACGGGAGGCAGCAGUAGGGAAUUUUUCACAAUGGACGAAAGUCUGAUGAAGCAAUGCCGUGUGAGUGAUGACGGCCUUCGGGUUGUAAAGCUCUGUUGUAAGGGAAGAAAAAAUAGAGUAGGAAAUGCCUCUAUAUUGACGGUACCUUACCAGAAAGCCACGGCUAACUAUGUGCCAGCAGCCGCGGUAAUACAUAGGUGGCAAGCGUUAUCCGGAUUUAUUGGGCGUAUAGGGUGCGUAGGCGGUUUUGCAAGUUUGAGGUUAAAGCCCGGAGCUCAACUCCGGUCCGCCUUGAAAACUGCAUUACUAGAAUGCAAGAGAGGUAAGUGGAAUUCCAUGUGUAGCGGUGAAAUGCGUAGAUAUAUGGAAGAACACCUGUGGCGAAAGCGACUUACUGGCUUGUUAUUGACGCUGAGGCACGAAAGCGUGGGGAGCAAAUAGGAUUAGAUACCCUAGUAGUCCACGCCGUAAACGAUGAGUACUAGGUGUUGGGGUUAUCUCAGCGCCGCAGCUAACGCAUUAAGUACUCCGCCUGAGUAGUAUGCUCGCAAGAGUGA
RNAcentral lists this ribosomal RNA (867 nucleotides) under Listeria monocytogenes. Its description in RNAcentral is "bacterial SSU rRNA". It matches the Rfam family "Bacterial small subunit ribosomal RNA", at positions 28 to 897 of the family's 1533-position model. Lineage: Bacteria; Bacillati; Bacillota; Bacilli; Caryophanales; Listeriaceae. The record is from RNAcentral.